Molecule: ribosomal RNA, 274 nt
Filed under: uncultured bacterium
Lineage: Bacteria
Description: partial 16S ribosomal RNA
Rfam family: Bacterial small subunit ribosomal RNA
Source: RNAcentral
AUACGGAGGGAGCGAGCGUUAAUCGGAAUUACUGGGCGUAAAGCGCGCGUAGGCGGCUUUGUAAGUCGGAUGUGAAAGCCCUGGGCUCAACCUGGGAAUGGCAUUCGAAACUGCAUGGCUUGAGUAUGGUAGAGGGAAGUGGAAUUUCCGGUGUAGCGGUGAAAUGCGUAGAUAUCGGAAGGAACACCAGUGGCGAAGGCGACUUCCUGGGCCAAUACUGACGCUCAGGUGCGAAAGCGUGGGGAGCAAACAGGAUUAGAAACCCCAGUAGUCC